GACGAACGCUGGCGGCGUGCUUAACACAUGCAAGUCGAACGGAAAGGCCUGCUUUCCCUUGUGGAUUGCGAGUACUCGAGUGGCGAACGGGUGAGUAACACGUGAGUGAUCUGCCCCCAACUUGGGUAUAAGCCUGGGAAACUGGGUCUAAUUCCCGAUAGGACUGCAGGGUGGUGCCUGUGGUGGAAAACGAUUUUCUAGUGGUUGGGGAUGAGCUCGCGGCCUAUCAGCUUGUUGGUGGGGUAAUGGCCUACCAAGGCGGCGACGGGUAGCCGGCCUGAGAGGGUGGACGGCCACAUUGGGACUGAGAUACGGCCCAGACUCCUACGGGAGGCAGCAGUGGGGAAUAUUGCACAAUGGGCGGAAGCCUGAUGCAGCGACGCCGCGUGGGGGAUGACGGCCUUCGGGUGGUAAACUCCUUUCGAUCGCGAGGAAGCCACCUGGUUGGAAGGGUGGUGACGGUAGUGGUAGAAGAAGCACCGGCUAACUACGUG
Molecule: ribosomal RNA, 494 nt
Filed under: uncultured bacterium
Lineage: Bacteria
Description: partial 16S ribosomal RNA
Rfam family: Bacterial small subunit ribosomal RNA
Source: RNAcentral